Molecule: long non-coding RNA, 568 nt
Organism: Helianthus annuus (common sunflower)
Lineage: Eukaryota; Viridiplantae; Streptophyta; Magnoliopsida; Asterales; Asteraceae
Exons: 2
Source: RefSeq, a predicted model, not a curated record
CUUGGACCCUGCCAUUACUCACCAGUAACUGUCAACGUUUCUCUAAAAGGGUCAAAGGGAAGAAUAGUCUUUUCACCGUUUCUUACUUCGUCAUAUCAACCAAAAAAACCCUACUUAUGUCAACCCAAUUAGAAUUAACCCCUCCCCCCCCCACACCAAUUCACACGUCUUCUUUCUUCGUUCCAUCGCCGAUGAAGGAUUCCGGGCACGAUCACAAAGCAAAGGAUUUUGGACACAAUCACAAACGUUAAUUUUGAUGUUUCAGGGUCUAAGAUAACAAAUUAGAUGUGAGGAUGAACAUUUCCGUCACAACUCUUGUCAUCCACGUGGUGGUCACUCUGUAUGGUCGCCCAUUCCUCCACUUCCAAUAUCCACCUGGAAAUCAGAGGAUUGAAUAGUUUAACUGAUAAGUGAAGUGUAGGAGUAUUAUAUGAUCUUAUGCUUAAUUUAUUAUGGAUGUAUUUAGUUUAAGUAGUUAUGGAUGAUUGUCUAAUUUAACUUAUUUUGGAUUAUGGAUGUUGUUUUGUUUGACUGAUUAUGGAUGACGAUCUUAUGUGCAUUAUUUGAA